RNAcentral lists this ribosomal RNA (253 nucleotides) under uncultured bacterium. RNAcentral describes it as "partial 16S ribosomal RNA". It matches the Rfam family "Bacterial small subunit ribosomal RNA", at positions 524 to 776 of the family's 1533-position model. The record is from RNAcentral.
CACGUAGGGGGCAAGCGUUGUCCGGAAUCAUUGGGCGUAAAGAGCUCGUAGGCGGCUCAAUAAGUCGAGCGUGAAAGCCCCCGGCUCAACUGGGGAGGGUCACUCGAUACUGAUCGACUUGAAGGCAGGAGAGGGAAGCGGAAUUCCCGGUGUAGUGGUGAAAUGCGUAGAUAUCGGGAGGAACACCAGUGGCGAAGGCGGCCUCCUGGCCUGUUCUUGACGCUGAGGCGCGAAAGCUAGGGGAGCAAACGGG